This 253-nucleotide ribosomal RNA is filed under the name uncultured bacterium. RNAcentral's name for it is "partial 16S ribosomal RNA". It matches the Rfam family "Bacterial small subunit ribosomal RNA", at positions 524 to 776 of the family's 1533-position model. The record is from RNAcentral.
GACAGAGGGUGCAAACGUUGCUCGGAAUUACUGGGCGUAAAGCGCGUGUAGGCGGGCCGAUAAGUCAGACGGGAAAUCCCUGAGCUCAACUCAGGAACUGCAUCUGAAACUGCCGGUCUAGAGUGGUGGAGAGGGAAGCGGAAUUCCUGGUGUAGAGGUGAAAUUCGUAGAUAUCAGGAGGAACACCGGUGGCGAAGGCGACUUCCUGGACACCAACUGACGCUGAGACGCGAAAGCGUGGGGAGCAAACAGG